CACCCACCAAGCUGAUCAGUAAACCCAAUUGACUUGAUUUUUACAUGAAGAAAAUGGUGGAAAUUACCAGAAUAAAACCCCCAUGAUCACGAGGAUCUAAUCACUGCGCGCUUGGAAGGGAUUUUCUCCUAAGGAGGGGAUGCUACAAAAGACAACUGUUUUGUGUACAUUUUGUAUUAUUGUGAAAUAGAUUUUAAGUAACCGGAAUUAACACCAAGUUUAGUGAAAGUUUAGGAUGUUGCCAAGUGGAGAAAGAACCUAUGAAAAUAGGUUUAUUAAUUAACACCAGUCUUGCCAUUAAAUCACAGUAAUGGAUGAUGGUAAACUUAUAUGAGGAACAAACGAGUUGUGAAAUUAACACCGGGAGUCCUUAUUUGUUAUAUAUAAAUAACGCUGACCUUUCUAUAAUAAAAGUAUCAUUUAA
Patella vulgata (common limpet) is the source of this 424-nucleotide long non-coding RNA. RefSeq lists it as uncharacterized. NCBI's taxonomy places the organism in Eukaryota, Metazoa, Mollusca, Gastropoda, Patellidae. The record is from RefSeq and is a predicted model, not a curated record. The transcript has 2 exons.